GAUGAACGCUGGCGGCGUGCCUAAUACAUGCAAGUCGAGCGAACAGACGACGAGCUUGCUCCUCUGACGUUAGCGGCGGACGGGUGAGUAACACGUGGAUAACCUACCUAUAAGACUGGGAUAACUUCGGGAAACCGGAGCUAAUACCGGAUAAUAUAUUGAACCGCAUGGUUCAAUAGUGAAAGACGGUUUUGCUGUCACUUAUAGAUGGAUCCGCGCCGCAUUAGCUAGUUGGUAAGGUAACGGCUUACCAAGGCAACGAUGCGUAGCCGACCUGAGAGGGUGAUCGGCCACACUGGAACUGAGACACGGUCCAGACUCCUACGGGAGGCAGCAGUAGGGAAUCUUCCGCAAUGGGCGAAAGCCUGACGGAGCAACGCCGCGUGAAUGAUGAAGGUCUUCGGAUCGUAAAACUCUGUUAUUAGGGAAGAACAAAUGUGUAAGUAACUAUGCACGUCUUGACGGUACCUAAUCAGAAAGCCACGGCUAACUACGUG
This 497-nucleotide ribosomal RNA is filed under the name uncultured bacterium. RNAcentral's name for it is "partial 16S ribosomal RNA". It matches the Rfam family "Bacterial small subunit ribosomal RNA", at positions 28 to 507 of the family's 1533-position model. The record is from RNAcentral.